This 559-nucleotide ribosomal RNA is filed under the name Trichoderma harzianum. RNAcentral describes it as "eukaryotic LSU rRNA". The stretch from base 155 to 308 matches the Rfam family "5.8S ribosomal RNA". Lineage: Eukaryota; Fungi; Ascomycota; Sordariomycetes; Hypocreales; Hypocreaceae. The record is from RNAcentral.
GACUCGGCGGGAUCUCUGCCCCGGGUGCGUCGCAGCCCCGGACCAAGGCGCCCGCCGGAGGACCAACCAAAACUCUUUUUGUAUACCCCCUCGCGGGUUUUUUAUAAUCUGAGCCUUCUCGGCGCCUCUCGUAGGCGUUUCGAAAAUGAAUCAAAACUUUCAACAACGGAUCUCUUGGUUCUGGCAUCGAUGAAGAACGCAGCGAAAUGCGAUAAGUAAUGUGAAUUGCAGAAUUCAGUGAAUCAUCGAAUCUUUGAACGCACAUUGCGCCCGCCAGUAUUCUGGCGGGCAUGCCUGUCCGAGCGUCAUUUCAACCCUCGAACCCCUCCGGGGGGUCGGCGUUGGGGAUCGGCCCUCCCUUAGCGGGUGGCCGUCUCCGAAAUACAGUGGCGGUCUCGCCGCAGCCUCUCCUGCGCAGUAGUUUGCACACUCGCAUCGGGAGCGCGGCGCGUCCACAGCCGUUAAACACCCAACUUCUGAAAUGUUGACCUCGGAUCAGGUAGGAAUACCCGCUGAACUUAAGCAUAUCAAUAAGCGGAGGAAAAGAAACCAACAGAUU